UGAGGAAUAUUGGGCAAUGCCCGCAAGGGUGACCCAGCAACGCCGCGUGGAGGAUGAAGGCCGUAAGGUUGUAAACUCCUGUUAGAGGAGAAGAAUAGUACCGAUUGGAUCGGUAUUUGACUGUACCCUCAGAGAAAGCCCCGGCUAACUACGUGCCAGCAGCCGCGGUAAUACGUAGGGGGCAAGCGUUGUCCGGAUUUACUGGGUGUAAAGGGCGCGCAGGCGGGAUAGCAAGUCAGAGGUGAAAUCCUACAGCUUAACUGUAGAACUGCCUUUGAUACUGUUAUUCUUGAGUUCGGGAGAGAGAGACGGAAUUCCAGGUGUAGUGGUGAAAUACGUAGAUAUCUGGAAGAACACCAGUUGCGAAGGCGGUCUCUUGGUCCGAUACUGACGCUGAGGCGCGAAAGCGUGGGGAGCAAACAGG
This 424-nucleotide ribosomal RNA is filed under the name uncultured Ignavibacterium sp. RNAcentral's name for it is "bacterial SSU rRNA". It matches the Rfam family "Bacterial small subunit ribosomal RNA", at positions 355 to 776 of the family's 1533-position model. Lineage: Bacteria; Pseudomonadati; Ignavibacteriota; Ignavibacteria; Ignavibacteriales; Ignavibacteriaceae. The record is from RNAcentral.